CGGUGUUUAACUGGCGUGAUGUGGGACGUCCUACCGGUGGGCUUAGCCUCGCGAGGGGCGGCCCAACUAAUAUCCCGUCGCGGUGCUCUUUACUGAGUGUCGAGUCGGGCCGGUACGUUUACUUUGAACAAAUUAGAGUGCUUAAAGCAGGCUGUCCUCGCCUGAAUACUGCGUGCAUGGAAUAAUGGAAUAGGACCUCGGUUCUAUUUUGUUGGUUUUCGGAACCCCGAGGUAAUGAUUAAUAGGGACAGAUGGGGGCAUUCGUAUUGCGACGUUAGAGGUGAAAUUCUUGGAUCGUCGCAAGACGGACAGAAGCGAAAGCAUUUGCCAAAAAUGUUUUCAUUAAUCAAGAGCGAAAGUUAGAGGUUCGAAGGCGAUCAGAUACCGCCCUAGUUCUAACCAUAAACGAUGCCAGCUAGCGAUCCGCCGAAGUUCCUCCGAUGACUCGGCGGGCAGCUUCCGGGAAACCAAAGCUUUUGGGUUCCGGGGGAAGUAUGGGUGCAAAGCUGAAACUUAAAGGAAUUGACGGAAGGGCACCACCAGGAGUGGAGCCUGCGGCUUAAUUUGACUCAACACGGGAAACCUCACCAGGCCCAGACACCGGAAGGAUUGACAGAUUGAUAGCUCUUUCUUGAUUCGGUGGGUGGUGGUGCAUGGGCCGUUCUUAGUUGGUGGAGCGAUUUGUCUGGUUAAUUCCGAUAACGAACGAGACUCUAGCCUGCUAAAUAGGCGUACCUUAUGGUAUCGCGAAGGCCCCCGGCUUCGGCCGGUGGGUUUUUACUACCAACGUACAAACAAAUCUUCUUAGAGGGACAGGCGG
RNAcentral lists this ribosomal RNA (820 nucleotides) under uncultured eukaryote. Its description in RNAcentral is "SSU rRNA". It matches the Rfam family "Eukaryotic small subunit ribosomal RNA", at positions 629 to 1426 of the family's 1831-position model. The record is from RNAcentral.